AUUGAACGCUGGCGGCAUGCCUUACACAUGCAAGUCGAACGGCAGCACGGGUGCUUGCACCUGGUGGCGAGUGGCGAACGGGUGAGUAAUACAUCGGAACGUACCUUAUCGUGGGGGAUAACGCAGCGAAAGUUGCGCUAAUACCGCAUACGCCCUGAGGGGGAAAGCGGGGGACCGUAAGGCCUCGCGCGAUUAGAGCGGCCGAUGUCUGAUUAGCUUGUUGGUGAGGUAAAAGCUCACCAAGGCGAUGAUCAGUAGCUGGUCUGAGAGGAAGAUCAGCCAAACUGGGAGUGAGACACGGCCCAGACUCCUACGGGAGGCAGCAGUGGGGAAUUUUGGACAAUGGGGGCAACCCUGAUCCAGCAAUGCCGCGUGAGUGAAGAAGGCCUUCGGGUUGUAAAGCUCUUUUGUCAGGGAAGAAACAGCAGCUCUAACACAGUCUGCGAAUGACGGUACCUGAAGAAUAAGCACCGGCUAACUACGUGCCAGCCGCCGCUGUAA
This 501-nucleotide ribosomal RNA is filed under the name uncultured bacterium. RNAcentral describes it as "partial 16S ribosomal RNA". It matches the Rfam family "Bacterial small subunit ribosomal RNA", at positions 30 to 523 of the family's 1533-position model. The record is from RNAcentral.